This 406-nucleotide ribosomal RNA is filed under the name uncultured bacterium. RNAcentral's name for it is "partial 16S ribosomal RNA". It matches the Rfam family "Bacterial small subunit ribosomal RNA", at positions 29 to 526 of the family's 1533-position model. The record is from RNAcentral.
AUUGAACGCUGGCGGCAGGCCUAACACAUGCAAGUCGAACGAGUGGCGGACGGGUGAGUAAUGUCUGGGAAACUGCCUGAUGGAGGGGGAUAACUACUGGAAACGGUAGCUAAUACCGCAUACCCUCGGAUGUGCCCAGAUGGGAUUAGCUAGUGGGUGGGGUAACGGCUCACCUAGGCGACGAUCCCUAGCUGGUCUGAGAGGAUGACCAGCCACACUGGAACUGAGACAAGGGCCAGACGCCUACGGGAGGCAGGAGUGGGGAAUAGUGCAAAAUGGGCGCAAGCCUGAUGCAGCCAUGCCGGGUGUAAGAAGAAGGCCUUCGGGUUGUAAAGUACUUUCAGCGGGGAGGCGUUACCCGAAGAAGAAGCACCGGCUAACUCCGUGCCAGCCGCCGCGGUAAUUC